This 483-nucleotide ribosomal RNA is filed under the name uncultured bacterium. RNAcentral describes it as "partial 16S ribosomal RNA". It matches the Rfam family "Bacterial small subunit ribosomal RNA", at positions 28 to 523 of the family's 1533-position model. The record is from RNAcentral.
GACGAACGCUGGCGGCGUGCUUAACACAUGCAAGUCGAACGAUGAAGCUGGAGCUUGCUCCGGUGGAUUAGUGGCGAACGGGUGAGUAACACGUGAGCAAUCUGCCCUUCACUCUGGGAUAACUGCGGGAAACUGUAGCUAAUACCGGAUACGAGACCUUGGGGCAUCCCAGGGUCUGGAAAGAAUUUCGGUGAAGGGUGAGCUCGCGGCCUAUCAGCUAGUUGGUGAGGUAAUGGCUCACCAAGGCGACGAAGGGUAGCCGGCCUGAGAGGGUGACCGGCCACACUGGGUCUGAGACACUGCCCAGACUCCUACAGGAGGCAGCAGUGGGGAAUAUUGCACAAUGGGCGAAAGGCUUAUGCAGCAACGUCGCGUGAGGGAUGAAGGCCUUCGGGUUGUAAACCUCUUUUAGUAGGGAAGAAGCGCAAGUGACGGUACCUACAGAAAAAGCACCGGCUAACUACGUGCCAGCCGCCGCAGUAA